UACGAAGGGGGCUAGCGUUGUUCGGAAUCACUGGGCGUAAAGCGCACGUAGGCGGCUUUCUAAGUCAGGGGUGAAAUCCUGGAGCUCAACUCCAGAACUGCCUUUGAUACUGGGAAUCUCGAGUCCGGGAGAGGUGAGUGGAACUGCGAGUGUAGAGGUGAAAUUCGUAGAUAUUCGCAAGAACACCAGUGGCGAAGGCGGCUCACUGGCCCGGUACUGACGCUGAGGUGCGAAAGCGUGGGGAGCAAACAGG
This 253-nucleotide ribosomal RNA is filed under the name uncultured bacterium. Its description in RNAcentral is "partial 16S ribosomal RNA". It matches the Rfam family "Bacterial small subunit ribosomal RNA", at positions 524 to 776 of the family's 1533-position model. The record is from RNAcentral.